GUCUACAGCCAUGCCACCCUGAACAAGCCUGAUCCUGUCUCAUCUCAGAAGCUAAGUGGGGUCGGGCCUGGUUAGUACUUGGAUGGGAGACCACUUAGGAAAACCAGGUGCUGUAGGCA
This 119-nucleotide ribosomal RNA is filed under the name Pteropus alecto (black flying fox). The record is from RNAcentral. Lineage: Eukaryota; Metazoa; Chordata; Mammalia; Chiroptera; Pteropodidae.